CCCAUCUGAUCAGCUCCAAAUCUGUGGAGU
Molecule: non-coding RNA, 30 nt
Filed under: Homo sapiens (human)
Lineage: Eukaryota; Metazoa; Chordata; Mammalia; Primates; Hominidae
Source: RNAcentral